Molecule: unclassified non-coding RNA, 254 nt
Filed under: Octopus sinensis (East Asian common octopus)
Lineage: Eukaryota; Metazoa; Mollusca; Cephalopoda; Octopoda; Octopodidae
Description: histone H1.0-B-like, transcript variant X1
Source: RNAcentral
ACAAGGCCUGAAAUUUUGAGGGAGGAGGAGGCCAGCUGAUUUCAUCGACCCCAGUGCUUCACUGGUAUUUGUUUCAUCGACGCCGAAAGGGGGGAAGGCAAAUUCGAUCUUGGGGAAUGUAAACUCAGCACGUAACGUCCGAAGCACCUUAAGUAUCGGAUGAAGCCUCAAGAGAGAACGAAGAUGAGAUUUUCCCAAGAUCAGCAAAAGUAUCAUGCAGCACUUAAUGCUGCCGUCCAAGAAUUUGGACCUGG